GUGGGGAAUUUUGGACAAUGGGCGCAAGCCUGAUCCAGCAAUGCCGCGUGCAGGAAGAAGGCCUUCGGGUUGUAAACUGCUUUUGUACGGAACGAAACGGUCCUGGCUAAUAUCCGGGGCUAAUGACGGUACCGUAAGAAUAAGCACCGGCUAACUACGUGCCAGCAGCCGCGGUAAUACGUAGGGUGCGAGCGUUAAUCGGAAUUACUGGGCGUAGAGCGUGCGCAGGCGGUGCUGUAAGACAGGCGUGAAAUCCCCGGGCUCAACCUGGGAAUUGCGCUUGUGACUGCAGUGCUGGAGUGCGGCAGAGGGGGAUGGAAUUCCGCGUGUAGCAGUGAAAUGCGUAGAUAUGCGGAGGAACACCGAUGGCGAAGGCAAUCCCCUGGGCCUGCACUGACGCUCAUGCACGAAAGCGUGGGGAGCAAACAGGAUUAGAUACCCGGGUAGUCC
RNAcentral lists this ribosomal RNA (450 nucleotides) under uncultured bacterium. Its description in RNAcentral is "partial 16S ribosomal RNA". It matches the Rfam family "Bacterial small subunit ribosomal RNA", at positions 354 to 796 of the family's 1533-position model. The record is from RNAcentral.